CGGGGUGGGAAUCACACGGGUCGUUAAGCACUGACGGGAACCGUCCUUCGCUGUCUCCGCGUGCCGCGGGGACGCUGGGGGCUGACGCGCCACAUAAACAAGCGGCAGCUCGGCGGCGGAACUUUCCGGUCCCGAAGGCGCCGGCGUAGCGGUCGCGGUCUCCGCCACUCCGCAGCAGUGAGGAGGGGACUCGCGGGACAGGCUGGGUCACGGUUUACUUCAGCUGUCGGAAUGGCCUUUGGGGUCAAGGAACUGCGGACGGAAAGGAAAUCGCACUGCCUUCACAGAUGCCAAGGAAGAGUUUGUUUGGACAGCCUCGGCGUGCGCAGGGUGCUGGAGAGAGAGGCGCACGCGACGUCCCCCAGAGGCGCUACGCUCCAACUCGGGAGGAAGAGGAAGACGGAGGAAGAUUCCGCCUUCGCGGCUCGCCAGGCAGAAUUCUGGAAACCUGCUCAAACAGCAGGGCGCGCUGGACCAGACCAUGGGGCCCAUCCACACACUGGAACAGAGCCUUUACAGAUACCAGACCAUGGGGCCCA
Molecule: long non-coding RNA, 539 nt
Organism: Anguilla anguilla (European eel)
Lineage: Eukaryota; Metazoa; Chordata; Actinopteri; Anguilliformes; Anguillidae
Exons: 3
Source: RefSeq, a predicted model, not a curated record